GACGAACGCUGGCGGCGUGCUUAACACAUGCAAGUCGAACGGAAAGGCCCUGCUUGCUGGGUCCUCGAGUGGCGAACGGGUGAGUAACACGUGGGUGCUCUGCCCUGCACUUCUGCAUAAGCCUGGGCAACUGGGUCUAAUACCGGAUAGCAGCCAUUUUUAGUGUGUUGGUUGGAAAGUUUUUUGGGUGUAGGAUGAGUUCGCGGCCUAUCAGCUUGUUGGUGGGGUAAUGGCCUACCAAGGCGGCGAGGGGUAGCCGGACUGAGGGGGUGGACGGCCACAUUGGGACCGAGAGAAGGCACAGAUGGCGACGAGAGGAAGAAGUGGGGAAGAUUGAACAAGGGGCGCAAGGUGGGUGAAGCGAGGCUGCGGGGGGGAAGACGGCCUUGGGGGUGAAGAAAAGCUGCGGGAGGGAAGAAGCUUGUUGUGACGGUACCUAGAGAAGAAGCACCGGCUAACUACGUG
RNAcentral lists this ribosomal RNA (465 nucleotides) under uncultured bacterium. RNAcentral's name for it is "partial 16S ribosomal RNA". It matches the Rfam family "Bacterial small subunit ribosomal RNA", at positions 28 to 507 of the family's 1533-position model. The record is from RNAcentral.